This is a long non-coding RNA of Branchiostoma floridae (Florida lancelet), 1027 nucleotides long. RefSeq lists it as uncharacterized. The record is from RefSeq and is a predicted model, not a curated record. NCBI's taxonomy places the organism in Eukaryota, Metazoa, Chordata, Leptocardii, Amphioxiformes, Branchiostomatidae. The transcript has 4 exons.
ACACACCUUUGUAAUUAUACUUUUUCUUUGUUAUUCUAAUUUGACUUAAAAUGUACCACAUACUAAAGCUAGUAGUAGAUACUAUCUGGGUAACGUAAGAAUGUUCUACAACAAAUGAAUGAGACAAAAGUACCAUUACGUGCAUGUUACACAACGUUCCGAACUACCCAUAUGAGGAUGCCCAUUUACACCAUCUUGACAUAGAUCUUCUAGAAGGUUGGUCGACGUUUUGCUCUAUGUUUUAGAUUCCCUGUUGUAUAUCGUCUAUUCGCACCCCUUUGAAAAUAGUGAGCUGAUCUCUGCAACUUUGACCUCACUUUUCAACUAUCAAGGUCUUCGUGGAAAAGCUAAGUUCGGUUCAGGUUCAAGAACAAUAUCAUCAGCGCCAUGAACCAAUGUCUGAAGCUUACGUUCCUGGUAGUGACAUGCUGUCUUCUGUUGGCGACUUUCCUGCUCAAAAGUCAAGAAAAUUACAUCCUGAGGACACUACCGAUGCCUUUCAACAACAGCGUUUCUGGAGGCAAAAACUUGAAAGCUUUCACAUCGAAAAGCAAAACGAGAAUGUCGAAGAUUUUACACGACGCAACAUCUACAUCGGAUUGGGUUUACAACAAAACGGCAGCGGAUCAAGUACGAACUGCUACAGCGCGAUUGAGUCUCUACAGUCUCUUUCGUUUGAGCUGGCUGGGCAACCCGCCACAGAAAAGGAAGUGUCCAUCAAAUUGCAAGACAAGAAACAUCGUACAACACCAGAAGACGUGCGCUCUCGUGGGCAACAGUGGAAUCCUCCUUGGAAGCAACUGCGGUUCUGAGAUUGACUCCAAAGAUUUCGUCGUACGAAUGGACUUACCGGGCGUCUCAGGGUUCGAAAACGACGUCGGCGGACGGACCAACAUGACGGUUGUAAGCCCUAAAACGACGAGACUCGUGGAAAAGUCUGCUAAGCUUAAGAAUCGUAGUGAGGAUGUGAACGAGGGUCGCCUUCGUGGAAUAAAAGAUACUAUUCUGUUAAUAGACAAAGAGUCAC